This 213-nucleotide unclassified non-coding RNA is filed under the name Hevea brasiliensis (rubber tree). The record is from RNAcentral. Lineage: Eukaryota; Viridiplantae; Streptophyta; Magnoliopsida; Malpighiales; Euphorbiaceae.
GGUGGAGGCCGGGCGACGCGGCAGCGUUCAAGGUGCUACUGGCGCUGGCAACGAUGUACGGCAUCAUGUGCUUCGCCGCCUACACCGUCAUCUACAUGCGCCACGUCCGCCCCCUAGGCCCCGACGCGCCGCUGGAUCAGUUUUCCGAGGCCAGGGCGAUUGAGCACAUCCGGCACCUCUCCGUCGACAUCGUGGAUCGCCAGGUAGGGCGGC